UCCAGUUUUUUCUAUGUUUAUUUACUCUUACCUGUGCUUUUAAUUUAUUAACCUCUGUGCAUAUGUUGACUAUGAAUAAGAUUGCAUUAUGGUUUAUGCCUCUGCUGCUGAUUCUGAUGAAAAGGAAUGUUAUUGUUUGAUUUGAAAAUUUAUCUAUGAAAUCUUAUCGACAUUGACAACAAUGAAUUUGGUUAUGAUACUUGAAUACAAUAAAAUCAAAAUCGAUUUUUAUUCUUAAUAUUUCAAACACUAUCGUGGUUCACUUGAGAUUGAUUUUUGAAGCAAUUGAACUGUUCCGUCCCAGAUUGAGUAGACUUUAUGCCUUGACUGCAUGAGGGUAUUGUCUGAUAGGCUUGAUAAGGAGGUUGAAAAUGUUAACAGGGACAUUGAAGCAUAUGAGGCCUGUCUUAAACAUUUGGAGGGGGAAGCUAGAGAUGAUUUUAGUGAGGCUGACUUUCUCAAGGAGAAAUUGAAGGAAAAUUGGAAUCGAGCAGCACAAAUCUAAAAGCUGAAUGGUUGAAUUUGCUUUGAUUUAAUGACUCAAUGUUGCUGCAUCUAGAUUCGGAUACUAUGAAUUAGACUUUGUAGUACUCUUUUCUUUAUUGGAGAGAAUGAAUUUAGGGAGGGUUUGGUUUUCUUCUGAAUGGAGCUGAAAUUAUUUCCUUGAUUUGAGUAAUUAAUAAUAAUAAUUAAGUUCUACUGCCUGUGCAACCUGUAACUGAAAACAACGCCAAUCUGAAGACAUGCUUCUUUCAUGUUCUCUUCAAGGUUUGGUUUAUCUGAUUAUGAUCUCUUUGCAUAUCUUCCUAUGA
This is a non-coding RNA of Arachis ipaensis, 812 nucleotides long. The record is from RefSeq and is a predicted model, not a curated record. Lineage: Eukaryota; Viridiplantae; Streptophyta; Magnoliopsida; Fabales; Fabaceae.